RNAcentral lists this ribosomal RNA (589 nucleotides) under uncultured bacterium. RNAcentral's name for it is "bacterial SSU rRNA". It matches the Rfam family "Bacterial small subunit ribosomal RNA", at positions 36 to 716 of the family's 1533-position model. The record is from RNAcentral.
CUAGCGGCAGGCUUAACACAUGCAAGUCGAGGGACCGGCAAACGGGUGCGGAACACGUACACAACCUACCUUUAUCAGGGGAAUAGCCCAGAGAAAUUUGGAUUAAUGCCCCAUAGAUAGAGAUGGGUGUGCGUAAGAUUAGCUAGUUGGUAAGGUAACGGCUUACCAAGGCGACGAUCUUUAGCUGAUGUGAGAGCAUGAUCAGCCACACGGGCACUGAGACACGGGCCCGACUCCUACGGGAGGCAGCAGUGAGGAAUAUUGGUCAAUGGACGAAAGUCUGAACCAGCCAUGCCGCGUGAAGGAUGAAGGCGUCUGCGUUGUAAACUUCUUUUAUCUGAGAAGCGGUAUCAGAUGAAUAAGCACCGGCUAACUCCGUGCCAGCAGCCGCGGUAAUACGGAGGGUGCAAGCGUUAUCCGGAUUUACUGGGUUUAAAGGGUGUGUAGGCGGACUUUUAAGUCAGGGGUGAAAUCUCCGAGCUCAACUCGGAAACUGCCUUUGAUACUAUUAGUCUUGAAUUAUGUUGAGGUUGGCGGAAUAUAACAUGUAGCGGUGAAAUGCAUAGAUAUGUUAUAGAACACCGAUUGC